Molecule: non-coding RNA, 65 nt
Organism: Dipodomys ordii (Ord's kangaroo rat)
Lineage: Eukaryota; Metazoa; Chordata; Mammalia; Rodentia; Heteromyidae
Source: Rfam
GGUGGCUCAGUGGUAGAGCUCUUGCCUUGCAUGCAUGAGACCCUGGGUUCGAUUCCUCAGCACCA